AUUUAACGCUGGCGGCAUGCCUAAUACAUGCAAGUCGAACGAGUGGCGGACGGGUGAGUAAUGUCUGUGAAACUUCCUGAUGAAGGGGGAUAACUGCUGGAACCAGUAGAUCAUGGCGCACACCAUCAGUUGUGCCCAGCUGGGAGUAGCUUGUUGGUGGGGUAACGGCUCACCAUGGCGACCAUCCAUAGCAGAUCUGAGAGGAUGACGAGCCACACUGGAACUGAGACACGGGCCAGACUCCUACGGGAGGCAGCAGUGGGGAAUAUUGCACAAUGUGCGAAAGCCUGAUGCAGCCAUGCCGCGUGUAUGAAGAAGGCCUUCGGGUUGUAAAGUACUUUCAGCGGGGAGGCGGUACCUGCAGAAGAAGCACCGGCUAACUCCGUGCCAGCAGCCGCGGUAAUAC
Molecule: ribosomal RNA, 406 nt
Filed under: uncultured bacterium
Lineage: Bacteria
Description: partial 16S ribosomal RNA
Rfam family: Bacterial small subunit ribosomal RNA
Source: RNAcentral